RNAcentral lists this long non-coding RNA (201 nucleotides) under Elaeis guineensis (African oil palm). RNAcentral describes it as "long non-coding RNA (EGUI_LNC055598)". The record is from RNAcentral. Lineage: Eukaryota; Viridiplantae; Streptophyta; Magnoliopsida; Arecales; Arecaceae.
AUCGAUCUCAAAAAUGAAAUCAGUACCUCAAAAUUAAUCAAAUCCAACCUCUUCCCAAAAAAAACAUGGACGUGGCAUUGGGAUCCACUGACGUGGUGCUGACUGGUCUUCCACCUGGACUAUUGAUGUGACAUCUCUUGCUCCUUUCUUUCUCAUCCCUUAGGUCGGAACCUUGCUCUGAUACCACUUGUUGAGACCGAC